AUGAGUCUAAAUAAACAGGGGCUGGGUUUGAACAUGGACAGUUUUGAAAAUUUCCAUCCUCAUGUCAUGUUGACACCACAUGUUGGAACAGAGAUAUUACGAGAUCAGGAAUCUCUUCCUACUGGGGAAAGGAAGAUGGCGACUGUUGGGGUUGAUGGGACACUUUGGGGGAUCCAGAAGGCCAAAAAAUAUGGCAUGUUUCGAGCUACGAUCCCAGCUCACUGGUCUUUCAUGUUUGCUACUGGAUUAGCAACCGUUGGAGCUUGGUACAAGUGGAGGGAAAAAGGGAGGCGUCGCAACAGGGCGCAAAGCUCAUGGCGUCUGAAGCGUUCCAUUUUCUUUCGGAAAGGAGGAUACCCCCGGGCCUCUGCAUCAAGGGAUGCACACAGCCAUCCAUGGAGGCAGGAAUUUUCUAUUUUCUAUCUCUUGCACGCCGUGUAG
This 441-nucleotide ribosomal RNA is filed under the name Triticum aestivum (bread wheat). Its description in RNAcentral is "partial small subunit ribosomal RNA". The record is from RNAcentral. Lineage: Eukaryota; Viridiplantae; Streptophyta; Magnoliopsida; Poales; Poaceae.